UGGCGGCAGGCCUAACACAUGCAAGUCGAACGCCCCUUCGGGGGAGUGGCAGACGGGUGAGUAACACGUGGGAACCUACCCAGGAGUACGGAAUAACUCAGGGAAACUUGAGCUAAUACCGUAUACGUCCUUCGGGAGAAAGUUUUAACGCUCUUGGAUGGGCCCGCGUCGCAUUAGCUAGUUGGUGGGGUAAUGGCCUACCAAGGCUUCGAUGCGUAGCUGGUCUGAGAGGAUGAUCAGCCACACUGGGACUGAGACACGGCCCAGACUCCUACGGGAGGCAGCAGUGGGGAAUCUUGGACAAUGGGCGCAAGCCUGAUCCAGCCAUGCCGCGUGAGUGAUGAAGGCCCUAGGGUUGUAAAGCUCUUUCACCGGUGAAGAUAAUGACGGUAGCCGGAGAAGAAGCCCCGGCUAACUCCGUGCCAGCAGCCGCGGUAAUACGGAGGGGGCUAGCGUUGUUCGGAAUUACUGGGCGUAAAGCGCACGUAGGCGGGUAUCCAAGUUGGGGGUGAAAUCCCGGGGCUCAACCCCGGAACUGCCUCCAAAACUGGGUACCUAGAGUCCGAGAGAGGUGAGUGGAAUUCCCAGUGUAGAGGUGAAAUUCGUAGAUAUUGGGAAGAACACCAGUGGCGAAGGCGGCUCACUGGCUCGGUACUGACGCUGAGGUGCGAC
RNAcentral lists this ribosomal RNA (672 nucleotides) under uncultured bacterium. RNAcentral describes it as "bacterial SSU rRNA". It matches the Rfam family "Bacterial small subunit ribosomal RNA", at positions 37 to 757 of the family's 1533-position model. The record is from RNAcentral.